AAGACCUUGCGCUUUUGGAGCGGCCGAUGUCUGAUUAGCUUGUUGGUGAGGUAAAGGCUUACCAAGGCUUCGAUCAGUAGCUGGUCUGAGAGGACGGCCAGCCACACUGGGACUGAGACACGGCCCAGACUCCUACGGGAGGCAGCAGUGGGGAAUUUUGGACAAUGGGGGCAACCCUGAUCCAGCCAUGCCGCGUGAGUGAAGAAGGCCUUCGGGUUGUAAAGCUCUUUCAGCCGGAACGAAACGGUUACGAUUAAUACCCGUAACUACUGACGGUACCGGAAGAAGAGGCACCGGCUAACUACGUGCCAGCAGCCGCGGUAAUACGUAGGGUGCGAGCGUUAAUCGGAAUUACUGGGCGUAAAGCGUGCGCAGGUGGUUUUGUAAGUCAGAUGUGAAAUCCCCGGGCUUAACCUGGGAACU
This 423-nucleotide ribosomal RNA is filed under the name uncultured bacterium. Its description in RNAcentral is "bacterial SSU rRNA". It matches the Rfam family "Bacterial small subunit ribosomal RNA", at positions 207 to 622 of the family's 1533-position model. The record is from RNAcentral.